This 467-nucleotide ribosomal RNA is filed under the name uncultured bacterium. RNAcentral describes it as "partial 16S ribosomal RNA". It matches the Rfam family "Bacterial small subunit ribosomal RNA", at positions 28 to 507 of the family's 1533-position model. The record is from RNAcentral.
GAUGAACGCUGGCGGCGUGCUUAACACAUGCAAGUCGAACGGAAAGGCCCAAGCUUGCUUGGGUACUCGAGUGGCGAACGGGUGAGUAACACGUGGGUGAUCUGCCCUGCACUUCGGGAUAAGCCUGGGAAACUGGGUCUAAUACCGGAUAGGACCACUUCUUGGAUGUUGUGGUGGAAAGUUUUUUCGGUGUGGGGUGAGCUCGCGGCCUAUCAGCUUGUUGGUGGGGUAAUGGGCUACCAAGGCGUCGGCGGGUAGCCGGCCUGAGAGGGUGUACGGCCACACUGGGACUGAGAUGCGGCACAGACUCCGACGGGAGGCAGCAGGGGGGAAGAUUGAACAAGGGGCGCAAGCCGGAUGCAGCGACGCCGCGGGGGGGAUGACGGUCUUCGGGUUGUAAACGCCUUUCGCUAGGGACGAAGCGUUUUGUGACGGUACCUGGAGAAGAAGCACCGGCUAACUACGUG